CACGUAGGGCGCAAGCGUUGUCCGGAAUUACUGGGCGUAAAGCGCGCGCAGGCGGUCUUCCAAGUCAGUGGUGAAAGCCCGGAGCUCAACUCCGGAACUGCCAUUGAAACUGUAAGACUUGAGGAUGAGAGAGGUGAGUGGAAUUCCCAGUGUAGAGGUGAAAUUCGUAGAUAUUGGGAAGAACACCGGUGGCGAAGGCGGCUCACUGGCUCAUAUCUGACGCUCAGGCGCGACAGCGUGGGGAUCAAACAGG
Molecule: ribosomal RNA, 253 nt
Filed under: uncultured bacterium
Lineage: Bacteria
Description: partial 16S ribosomal RNA
Rfam family: Bacterial small subunit ribosomal RNA
Source: RNAcentral